Dromaius novaehollandiae (emu) is the source of this 980-nucleotide long non-coding RNA. RefSeq lists it as uncharacterized. The transcript has 4 exons. The record is from RefSeq and is a predicted model, not a curated record. NCBI's taxonomy places the organism in Eukaryota, Metazoa, Chordata, Aves, Casuariiformes, Dromaiidae.
GAUCUGCCGAGGAAAGAGAGGGGAAACCGGGAAAAAAAAAAGAGCGGCGUCACGCGGCGCCGGCUCAGCAUUUCUUCUGCGGUAUCGCAGAAGCCGAGUGAUUUCGUUCUGCCCCCGUUCACCCCAAACCGGACGGACCCGGCGCAAAACACUCGGAUUUGGGGCUUUCCCAAAUCGCCAAGGAGGUGCCGGCGCUGCGGAUCUGCCAGGUGCCCCGGAGCGAAUCGCAGAGGGCAGGUUGCCAGGGCGACUCUUCCCAGCGGUAAUUUUGGAGCCGGGCUCACCUGCAUGAUGAUGAAGUACCAGAGCGCGUGGAUGUCCCAGAAGUAGCCGAGGCCGAAGAGCGCCGAGAAGAGCCCGCUCAGCAGCAUCCCCACGGACAGGUCGUGUAGCACAGGAAGGUGAGCAGCAGCAUCAGGCCCCGGUAGCUGCGGACGAGAGGCGUCGGGAGAACCGGGAACGGAGCCAACCGGAGCGCUCGCGGACCCCGCCGGGGCCGAACCUCGACGCCGAGCUCCAAACACGCCCGAAAAACCUCCCUGCGACCGGCAUCGCGGAGCGAUUCAGAAAAGCGCCCGCAAAAAUCGGAGAGGCUCGGCGAAAAGAGCGGAGCCGGGAUUGACCCGGCGCCGAGAAAUCACGCUUUCCCAUCGCCCUAAAAAUUAAAGAAAAAAGGAGAAAUCACGGCCGGUCGCCGCCGCGGAGGAUGGGAGUGAGUAAGGGGCGCGGGAAACGGGGCCGGCCGAAAAAAAAGGGGAUUGGGGAAGGUUGAGUCAAGGAGCGGACGGAAAGAUUGACGGCGGGACGGAAAGAGGAAGCCGGCGGCUGCCUCAGCGCCGAGUCGUUUGGCAACGGUGUCGCGUGAGGACGAGCUCUGAAAACCGGCGGCUUAAAAAAGAUAUAUAUAUGCACUUAAAAGAAAAAAAUUGAGGCGGGUUUGUCACCUCGCAGAACGGGAUGCCCCGAGCUGCGGGAGCGGG